RNAcentral lists this ribosomal RNA (304 nucleotides) under uncultured bacterium. Its description in RNAcentral is "bacterial SSU rRNA". It matches the Rfam family "Bacterial small subunit ribosomal RNA", at positions 29 to 340 of the family's 1533-position model. The record is from RNAcentral.
AAUGAACGUUGGCGGCGUGGAUUAGGCAUGCAAGUCGUACGCAUAGCUUCGGCUAUGAGUGGCGCAAGGGUGAGUAAUGCGAAGGUAACCAACCCUGGUGUUGGGCAUAGCCGCGGGAAACUGCGGGUAAUUCCCAGCGACGUCACGAGAUGGCAUCAUCUUGUGACCAAAAGGUGUGAUUCCGCUCUAGGACGGGCCUUCGUGGUAUUAGGUAGUUGGUGAGGUAACGGCUCACCAAGCCGACGAUGCUACCGGUGUGAGAGCAUGACCGGCACACUGGAACUGAGACACUGUCCAGACACCU